Molecule: long non-coding RNA, 503 nt
Organism: Quercus robur (English oak)
Lineage: Eukaryota; Viridiplantae; Streptophyta; Magnoliopsida; Fagales; Fagaceae
Exons: 2
Source: RefSeq, a predicted model, not a curated record
UUAAACUUUGUAAAACCCUUUGUUUUCACGCUUUAAACUCUUUUGUUUUCCCUUUCCUUUUGUUACACGGUUUCAAUUUCCUGUCUCCCCACAUUUUAGUUCUUUCCCCUUCCCCUUCAACGGUUUCACAUUCUCCCCACAUUUUAGUUCUUUCCCCUUCCCCACCUUUUGUUCUAUGGUUUCACAUUAAAUUUACGCCAGCCUUACUCCCUUCUAAUGGCAGCCUCUCUGUCUUCCUUCCUUCUUAUCUUCCUCUCUUUACAUUAUAUGAAUACUGACAGAAGCUGCUAAGUUCAAGAUGUGAUCUGGAUUUGGCAUGUUGGUACUGUUGUGGAUGUGGAUACCGAAACAGGUGCUGAAUACAAUCUUAAUGGACCUACUUCCUAUGAAGUUGUUAAUGAAUUGCUUUUCAACAUUGGUGACAUUAUAAUGAGUAAUGUUUUGCUCUCAAUGUGUAGUGAAGGUGAACAUUAACAAAGUAAUGAUUUGUUCUUAUUUUGCUA